Molecule: transfer RNA, 71 nt
Filed under: Geocalamus acutus
Lineage: Eukaryota; Metazoa; Chordata; Lepidosauria; Squamata; Amphisbaenidae
Description: tRNA-Trp
Rfam family: tRNA
About the family: Transfer RNA (tRNA) molecules are approximately 80 nucleotides in length. Their secondary structure includes four short double-helical elements and three loops (D, anti-codon, and T loops). Further hydrogen bonds mediate the characteristic L-shaped molecular structure. tRNAs have two regions of fundamental functional importance: the anti-codon, which is responsible for specific mRNA codon recognition, and the 3' end, to which the tRNAs corresponding amino acid is attached (by aminoacyl-tRNA synthetases). tRNAs cope with the degeneracy of the genetic code in two manners: having more than one tRNA (with a specific anti-codon) for a particular amino acid; and 'wobble' base-pairing, i.e. permitting non-standard base-pairing at the 3rd anti-codon position.
Source: RNAcentral
AGAAACUUAGGUUAAUUAUUAAACCGGAGGCCUUCAAAGCCUCAAACAAGAAUAAUAUUUCUUAGUUUCUG